RNAcentral lists this ribosomal RNA (497 nucleotides) under uncultured bacterium. RNAcentral describes it as "partial 16S ribosomal RNA". It matches the Rfam family "Bacterial small subunit ribosomal RNA", at positions 28 to 507 of the family's 1533-position model. The record is from RNAcentral.
GAUGAACGCUGGCGGCGUGCCUAAUACAUGCAAGUCGAGCGAACGGACGAUAAUCUUGCUUCUCUGAUGUUAGCGGCGGACGGGUGAGUAACAUGUGGAUCACCUACCUAUAUGACUGGGAUAACUUCGGGAAACCGGCGCUAAUACCGGAUAAUAUUUUGAACCGCAUGGUUCAUAAGUGAAAGACGGUCUUUCUGUCACUUAUAGCUGGAUCCGCGCUGCAUUAGCUAGUUGGUAAGGUAACGGCUUACCAAGGCAACGAUGCAUAGCCGACCGGUGAGGGUGGUAGGCCACAUUAGAAGUGAGACAGCGUCCAGACGACUAAGGGACGGAGCAGUAUGGAAUGUUCCGCAAUGGGCGGAAGCAUGACGGAGCAACGCCACGUGAGUGAUGAAGGUCUUCGGAGCGGAAAACUCUGUUACUAGGUAAAAACAGAUUUGUCAGGAGCUGAGGACAGCGUGACGGUACCUAAUCAGAAAGCCACGGCUAACUACGUG